This 381-nucleotide ribosomal RNA is filed under the name uncultured microorganism. RNAcentral describes it as "bacterial SSU rRNA". It matches the Rfam family "Archaeal small subunit ribosomal RNA", at positions 330 to 712 of the family's 1478-position model. The record is from RNAcentral.
GUGCACCAGUCGAGAAAACUUCACACUGUGCGAAAGCACGAUGAGGGAAUCCCAAGUGCUUGCACGUAAGUGUAAGCUGUUUCUCUGUCUAAAACGCAGAGAGAGUAAGGGCUGGGUAAGACGGGUGCCAGCCGCCGCGGUAAUACCUGCAGCUCAAGUGGUGACCGUUAUUAUUGGGCCUAAAACGUCCGUAGCCGGUUUAAUAAAUGCCUGGGUAAAUUGUGUAGCUUAACUAUACGAAUUCCGGGUAGACUGUUAAACUUGAGACCGGGAGAAGUUAGAGGUACUCCUGGGGUAGAGGUGAAAUUCUGUGAUCCUAGGGGGACCACCAGUGGCGAAGGCGUCUAACUAGAACGGGUCUGACGGUGAGGGACGAAGCCC